Molecule: small RNA, 124 nt
Filed under: Marmota monax (woodchuck)
Lineage: Eukaryota; Metazoa; Chordata; Mammalia; Rodentia; Sciuridae
Source: RNAcentral
GCUGGGCGUAGUGAUGCAGGCCUGUAAUCCCAGUGAUUUGGGAGGUUGAGGCAGGAGGAUCUUAAGUUCAAGGGUACCCUCAGCAAAGUGAGGCCCUGAGCAACUUAGUGAGACCCUGUCUCAA